Molecule: transfer RNA, 73 nt
Filed under: Felis catus (domestic cat)
Lineage: Eukaryota; Metazoa; Chordata; Mammalia; Carnivora; Felidae
Also listed under: 2 other names
Rfam family: tRNA
About the family: Transfer RNA (tRNA) molecules are approximately 80 nucleotides in length. Their secondary structure includes four short double-helical elements and three loops (D, anti-codon, and T loops). Further hydrogen bonds mediate the characteristic L-shaped molecular structure. tRNAs have two regions of fundamental functional importance: the anti-codon, which is responsible for specific mRNA codon recognition, and the 3' end, to which the tRNAs corresponding amino acid is attached (by aminoacyl-tRNA synthetases). tRNAs cope with the degeneracy of the genetic code in two manners: having more than one tRNA (with a specific anti-codon) for a particular amino acid; and 'wobble' base-pairing, i.e. permitting non-standard base-pairing at the 3rd anti-codon position.
Source: Rfam by way of RNAcentral
GCCUGGCUGGCUCAAUUGGUAGAGCAUGUGACUCUUGAUCUUGGGGUUAUGAGUUUGAGUCCCAUGUUGAGUG